CGCAUCUGUGCAUGCAGCAUAUCAAUAAGCGGAGGAAAAGAAACUAACAAGGAUUCCCUUAGUAACGGCGAGUGAAGCGGGAAGAGCUCAAAUUUGAAAUCUUCAAGGUUUUACCUUGACGAAUUGUAGUUUAAAGAAGUGUUUUCUGUUGAAGUUUUGGUAAAAGUUCUUUGGAAUAGGACAUCAUAGAGGGUGAGAAUCCCGUAUUUGACCAUUAUUUUCAGCUGUGUGAUACACUUUCAAAGAGUCGGAUUGUUUGGGAAUGCAGUCCAGAAUGGGUGGUAAAUUUCAUCUAAAGCUAAAUAUUGGCGAGAGACCGAUAGCGAACAAGUACCGUGAGGGAAAGAUGAAAAGAACUUUGAAAAGAGAGUUAAACAGUACGUGAAAUUGUCAAAAGGGAAGCGUUUGACACCAGUGUUGUUUUCUCGAAAAUCAAUUAAAAAGAGUUUGAUUUUGUUGUGUAUUGACCUUAACAGCUUGCAUUUCAAUUUUCUUGCUUUUUUUAAUGCACUUUUCGUUUAACAAGUCGACAUCAGUUUCUUUUGUUGUAAAAAGGUCAUUGGAAGGUGGCUUUCUUUUCGGAGAAAGUGUUUAUAGCCUUUGACUCCUGCAAUCGGAGAGACUGAGGUCUGCAGCGUAGAUCCUUCGGGGUUAGAUACAUUUGUGCUAAGUUAUAGCUUUUUAUAGACAACUUGUUGACUAUGAUUAGUCUUGUAGCUUACUCGCUUAUGCUAUUUUACCUACGCUUAGGAUGUUGACACACGCGCGUGCUCG
Molecule: ribosomal RNA, 774 nt
Filed under: uncultured Neocallimastigales
Lineage: Eukaryota; Fungi; Neocallimastigomycota; Neocallimastigomycetes; Neocallimastigales
Description: partial large subunit ribosomal RNA
Rfam family: Eukaryotic large subunit ribosomal RNA
Source: RNAcentral